Molecule: transfer RNA, 61 nt
Filed under: Proasellus coiffaiti
Lineage: Eukaryota; Metazoa; Arthropoda; Malacostraca; Isopoda; Asellidae
Description: transfert RNA-E(GAA)
Source: RNAcentral
GCUUUUACAGUGUUUGACAUGUUACAAUUUCAUUGUGAAGUAGAUAUUUUAUCUUAAAGUA